Molecule: ribosomal RNA, 387 nt
Filed under: uncultured bacterium
Lineage: Bacteria
Description: bacterial SSU rRNA
Rfam family: Bacterial small subunit ribosomal RNA
Source: RNAcentral
GACGAACGCUGGCGGCGUGCUUAACACAUGCAAGUCGAGCGGUAAGGCCCUUUCGGGGGUACACGAGCGGCGAACGGGUGAGUAACACGUGGGUGACCUGCCCUCAGCUCUGGGAUAAGCCUGGGAAACUGGGUCUAAUACUGGAUAUGACUCCACGGUGCAUGGCGUGGGGUGGAAAGCCUUGUGCGGCUGAGGAUGGGCCCGCGGCCUAUCAGCUUGUUGGUGGGGUGANGGCCUACCAAGGCGACGACGGGUAGCCGGCCUGAGAGGGCGACCGGCCACACUGGGACUGAGACACGGCCAGACUCCUACGGGAGGCAGCAGUGGGGAAUCUUGCGCAAUGGGCGAAAGCCUGACGCAGCGACGCCGCGUGACGGGAUGACGGCC